ACAGGGAAAAGCUUGCUUUUCUGCUGACGACCGGCGCACGGGUGCGUAACGCGUAUACAAUCUGCCUUAUACAGAGGGAUAGCCUUUAGAAAUGAAGAUUAAUACCUUAUAGUCUAUAUAUAUAGCAUUAUAUAAGUAGUAAAGCUUCGGUGGUAUAAGAUGAGUAUGCGUCCUAUUAGUUAGUUGGUGAGGUAACGGCUUACCAAGACAACGAUAGGUAGGGGCCCUGAGAGGGGGAUCCCCCACACUGGUACUGAGACACGGACCAGACUCCUACGGGAGGCAGCAGUGAGGAAUAUUGGACAAUGGAGGCAACUCUGAUCCAGCCAUGCCGCGUGCAGGAAGACGGCCCUAUGGGUUGUAAACUGCUUUUAUAUAGGAAGAAACCUUUUCACGUGUGAGAAGCUGACGGUACUAUAAGAAUAAGGACCGGCUAACUCCGUGCCAGCAGCCGCGGUAAUACGGAGGGUCCGAGCGUUAUCCGGAAUCAUUGGGUUUAAAGGGUCCGUAGGCGGGAAUCUAAGUCAGUGGUGAAAUCUUGCAGCUCAACUGUAAAAUUGCCAUUGAUACUGGAUUUCUUGAAUUAGUGUGAAGUGGUUAGAAUGUGUAGUGUAGCGGUGAAAUGCAUAGAUAUUACACAGAAUACCAAUUGCGAAGGCAGAUCACUAACACUAUAUUGACGCUGAGGGACGAAAGCGUGGGGAGCGAACAGGAUUAGAUACCCUGGUAGUCCACGCCGUAAACGAUGGAUACUAGCUGUUCGGUCUUCGGACUGAGUGGCUAAGCGAAAGUGAUAAGUAUCCCACCUGGAGAGUACGUUCGCAAGAAUGAAACUUAAAGGAAUUGACGG
RNAcentral lists this ribosomal RNA (850 nucleotides) under uncultured Flavobacteriales bacterium. RNAcentral's name for it is "bacterial SSU rRNA". It matches the Rfam family "Bacterial small subunit ribosomal RNA", at positions 71 to 916 of the family's 1533-position model. The record is from RNAcentral. Lineage: Bacteria; Pseudomonadati; Bacteroidota; Flavobacteriia; Flavobacteriales.